This is a long non-coding RNA of Leopardus geoffroyi (Geoffroy's cat), 3369 nucleotides long. RefSeq lists it as uncharacterized. The transcript has 2 exons. The record is from RefSeq and is a predicted model, not a curated record. NCBI's taxonomy places the organism in Eukaryota, Metazoa, Chordata, Mammalia, Carnivora, Felidae.
UCUCUCCCGCAGCCCGCUCGCUGCUCUGCCGCUCGGCCGGCGCCCCCACCCCGCCCCGCUUGCUGUAUUUAAAUAGGCAACUGGAUCCACACGGACACAAUAAUUUAGCUUGUCUACGGCAUUUUCUACAGGACCCCAAGAGAUGGACCUUCCACUCCCCCUUUUCUCUCUAGAACUGGCAUCUUUCAUCUCUGUCUAUACGGGCCCAAUUAUACAGAUCCUUGGGGUUCCAAUAGGAUCUGAAGCAUUGGAACCAAGAACACCUGGCCAUAAUUAGAAAGGAUUUUCUUUUUCGUUACCUUGUCUUUCUUUUCCUUUUUUCCCUCUUUCCCUUAAAAAUUCUAUUGUUUUAAUUUCAGGUAUUUAUCUGUUUUUAAGAGGGCUAGGAUUAACCACGGUGAGGGCGGGGUAGGUGGGGUGGGGGGAAAGCCCAGCCUUCAGCCCCUUGCAGAGAUCGCCAGGCUUCCGAGCCUGCCCCGCCUCGCUUCCUUUCCUUGGCCUUCGGCCUCCUCCUCAGAUCGUUUUUUUUUUUUUUUUUUCCUCCCCCCACCGUCUUCUCUCCGGUUUAAUUAAAGUUUAGCGACUCCACUUGCCUUUUUUCUCCUCUCUCUCCGAAAGCGGAAACCAGACAGACCAGCGGCCAUGGGCCAAGCAGCCCCGUGGCCCCAGCACAAUCUGGGCCCGCCACCGUCAGGGCCUCCCCCUCGCCCGCCACCCUCCGCCGCCGCCGCCGCCGAUGGCCUCCUGAACUGGUGCGCAGCCCCUCCACCAUCCCGCAGGUGUGCAGCCGCCGGCCUGAGGGAUCUGAAUGACCGGGGCUGGGGUAGGGGUGUCCUGCCUUCCCCUAAACCCACCCCUAGACUUGCUCCAGAAAGUUUGGAGGGUGGGUACACCCCGACUGAGGUAAUCAGCUCCCCCAAACCCAUGGCUGACUAAUAUGAUAUGACAAAAGCUAGUGAUGGAUUUGGUAUAUGUUAAUUCACAAUGCCCUUUCCUCCAGAAUUUAACUAUAAGUUAAUACACACCGGAAACCACGCGCAUACACGCUCGUUAAUGGGCUUAGGUAUUAGCGAGUCCUAACGAUGCAUACAAAUGUGCUCUGCGCUCUGUAGGCCCCUCAAGAUUUAUGGGCCUUGAGCUCUCUGAAGCUGUAAACAAGGAGAAAAAAAGAGAAAGAGAGAGAGAGACUGGGGGAAAGAGACAGAGGCCUGACUCACCCCUCCAGGUUGUGGGAGAGAAGGGAUCUCUGCAAGUGGGUUCUUAUGUAUUUUGCUUUCCUUACAAGCUCGGUGUCUGUGGGUUUCGGCAUGGGGCUGGGGCUGGGGCUCGGGUGGUGGUUGCCCUGAAUGCUGCUGGGAUGUGUGGGCAGUGUGGUGUUUGUGUGCUGGGGUAGGAGGACUCCUGCCUCCCAGGCCGGGGCCUGCGUCUAGCAGAUAUCUGUGGGCAUAAUACCUGUGAGUGUGCAGUGUGCUAGGUGUGUGUGUGCACGCAAGUGCAUGUGUGAGAAGCAGGCCUCCCUCUGGGCCUGGCUGCUGUCCCCUGAACCCGGUGAACAAAUCUCUAACAACAGUCAUAAUAACAAUAAAUAAUAAAUAACAAUGAAACAGUAGUUAACAGUCCCUCCCUAGCAGGGUAACAAUAAAAUGCAAGAGGAGAUAUUUUGAGGAGGGGCCAGGGGAAGGAGUCAUGAUCACAGCAUCUGAGGGGAAGACAAGGGAGGGAGGGAGGAAGGAAGGAUGGAAGGAAGGAAGGAAGGAAGGAAGGAAGGAAGGAAGGAAGGAAGGAAGGAAGGAAGGAAGGAAGGAAGUUAGCUUCUUCCUAUGCCCUCGGGGGGCUGGGUUUGGGAACCCCCUCUCCAGACAAGGUCCUCUGGCCAGAGGAGGAGAGGGAGAGCCAGGAGGCCACUCUUUCCUGCUUCUUUUACUCUGGCUUUUGCUUUGUGCGAUCAGGGGAGGGACCCCACAUAUGGGGGUGAUUAGUGGCUUUGGGGUCUCUGGAGCCCCUGUUUUAAAGAGAAGAGCAAGCGGACAGGGUCAGACGAGGGGGCAGAGAUGGAUGAGGCGAUGGCCAGAGCCAGGGGUCCCGGCCAGUCGGGCCGCAGAGGUGCUGGGGGAGGACCUGCCGCCGGGUAUGGACAGAAGCAGAAAAACAUUUAUGGCCGCCUGCAAGGAGAGGGGAGAGCAAGGCCGGUUUCCAGUAGGCCCAGGGAAAGUUCCCUUUCUAGGGGCUUUUCAAACAAACAAACAAACAAAAACAACCACCACAACAGCAACAACAACAAAAAAGGAGAAGAAGAAGGGAGGGGUUGAGGCGCGCUGAAUUUUCCCUCGCGGUCUUGGAGCCUGCGGAUUUCCAUAAAAGACGAGAAGACCACGCUCCCGGAUCCUUCCACAUCUGCCUCGUUUUCUCCAGCCGGUGACCCAUCUGGUCUGAAAGGGACGGAGAACUACACUUGCCACUGAGUCACUUCUUUAAGACCGGUGCACACACAAAGAUUCGCAAGAGAACCCGGGGCGUCCUUGCAUUUGAACACCACGCGAGGCGAAGGAUACUGAUAACCAGUCGGACAAAAUACUAAUAAAAUAAAAUGAAAUCGGGGGAAGCGCUGAGUGCAGGGCGAGCGGGGAGAGGCCGGAUCUUGGGUUCCAGGCGGCCCGGGGCGACGGGGGGCGCCGAGCGGGGGCCGGGCUCCUGCUGGCGACCCUGCUCCGUCUCGGCGUCCCCAGCCCGGGCCCGCGGCCCCCUUCUCUCCAGCCUCCGCGCCCCUCCUGCCCUCUCGGCUCGGAUGCCUGGUCCGGCCUCCCUGGUGCAAGGAUUUGGGACCUAAGAAGGGGCAAAGUGACUCAAGCCAGACUCUCCAUUUUUCUCCCCUAGGCCUCUCCACUUGCCCAGGCGCUCAGCCACCCGGGGACCGACACAACAGGGGCUUCUGGGCCGCCCCCUACCCACUCCUGUAUGGUUUCCCCAAAGUCUAGCGACCUCCAACCCUCCUUGGUGGGGGGGGGGGGGCAAAUAUCAGUGGCCAGUCUCCUCUGCACCCUGUCAUGGGUGACCUCACUUCAGGAAUAUCUUGAAGGAGAAGAAAAAGAAGGCCGGCUUAGAGCCCUGUUUACAUCUAGUUCUACUGAUCUGUUCACAUCUGGAGAGUUUAUUUAUAACCCCCACUAUAACUCUCCCUGUUUGGAGGCACUGAUGUCUAGAAAAUAUUGCUCUAUCUCUAACCAUACCUAAAUGUGCUGUGCUUGUAUUUACAGAUUUAUGCUCGAGGAAAAUAUAAUUAUUUCCAUUGUAUUCGUGCAUAUACAAUAGUUAUAGAAGUAGAUUUAUAUAUGAGAAAAUAUACGACUCUCUUACAGCCAUCCAGUUUUA